GAUGAACGCUAGCGAUAGGCCUAACACAUGCAAGUCGAGGGGCAUCACAUGAAGUAGCAAUACGGAUGGUGGCGACCGGCGCACGGGUGAGUAACACGUAUGCAACCUGCCUUCAACAAGGGGAUAACCCGUUGAAAGACGGACUAAUACCCUAUAACACAGGGGUCCCGCAUGGGAAUAUUUGUUAAAGGACAACCGGUUGAAGAUGGGCAUGCGUUCCAUUAGCUAGUUGGCGGGGUAACGGCCCACCAAGGCAACGAUGGAUAGGGGAACUGAGAGGUUUAUCCCCCACACUGGUACUGAGACACGGACCAGACUCCUACGGGAGGCAGCAGUGAGGAAUAUUGGUCAAUGGACGCAAGUCUGAACCAGCCACGUCGCGUGAAGGAAGACGGCCCUACGGGUUGUAAACUUCUUUUAACGGGAAUAAAGUGCCCCACGCGUGGGGUUUUGCAUGUACCGUAUGAAUAAGGAUCGGCUAACUCCGUGCCAGCAGCCGCGGUAAUUACG
Molecule: ribosomal RNA, 510 nt
Filed under: uncultured bacterium
Lineage: Bacteria
Description: bacterial SSU rRNA
Rfam family: Bacterial small subunit ribosomal RNA
Source: RNAcentral